GAUGAACGCUGGCAGAAUGCUUAACACAUGCAAGUCUUUGGUGCAGCUGUGCUUGCUCCGCCUAGCCAGGGCGGACGGGUGAGUAACGCGUCAGGAACUUGCCCUGCCUUCAGGGCUAACAGACGGAAACGACUGCUGAGCCCUGGUCAAGUCAGGCGGUCUCCUGUCCAGCCUGAUGAUAAGAGAUGCUGCAGGAGAGCCUUGCGUCCUAUUAGCUUGUUGGUGGGGUACCGGCCCACCAAGGGAAUGAUAGGUAGCCGGCCUGAGAGGGUGGACGGCCAAAAGGGGUAUGAGAGACGGCCGUAACGCCUACGGGAGGCAGCAGUGGAGAAUAUCGGACAAAGGGCGCAACAGUGAUCCAGGUAUUCUGUGUGUACGAUGCAGGUUUUCGGAAUGUAAAGUGCUGUAAGUAGGGAAGAAAAAAAUGACGGUACCUGCAGAAGAAGCGACGGCUAAAUACGUG
This 463-nucleotide ribosomal RNA is filed under the name uncultured bacterium. RNAcentral's name for it is "partial 16S ribosomal RNA". It matches the Rfam family "Bacterial small subunit ribosomal RNA", at positions 28 to 507 of the family's 1533-position model. The record is from RNAcentral.